CCCGGCCAACUAAUGCCUUCCACCCCUCCUCAGGUGCUCAAAUGCUGAAAUACCAGUGACCUUGGGCUUGUAUUUUAAUUAUCAGUAUAAAUUUGAGGUGAGAAGGGUCCUCUGAAUUUUUUUUUCCCUAUUAAAAUGCAUCCUCUCAUUUAGAAACACCAGAAAUUGUUCUAUUCCUUUCCUCUCGAGUCCCCUCAUCUGGGCAACAUCUGGGUCACCUCUAAGGUAGGGCCUUCAACCUUUUUAUUGGGGAGCCGGAUGAGAGCUGGUUUUGCUAACUUGGGAAGAGGGCAGAACUCUGAUUCAGGCCUUCAGCUGACAGGUAAGUGAAGGGAGAGGCGUAAAUCUCCUACUAAUCAAGUUUUCUCGCUCCAAGCACCCCGCUUCCCUCUUAGUUUUUUUCCAUGUGGCUGCAGGUCUGGCCAGAGCCUGACGUGUAAUUAAAAUAACCUAAUUUAACUGAUUGAUCUACCUCGGGGUGGGAAAUGUCCAGAACUGGAGACACACGGGGCAAGUUUCAGGCUCUGGCCAGACCUGCUGACAUUAACGGGCAGGGGGAGUUUCAAGUAUCAGGAUAGAAGGGGGUUCAGGUGGGACGCAGGCCGUAUGAGGGGAUAGGACAUGUUCUGAUGCAAGAUCUAUUGUAAAGUCCCCUUGGCAAUCCUCUGGUGCUCUGGACCUCACUCUCCUCAGAAUGCAGGACCAAAGUGUGAACCCCAAACCAUGCCCUUCCAGGGGGGUGCCUUUGUGAUAAUCCCCCGGGCCCUACACCUGUGACAUGGCAUGCUUUUCAUGUCCGGUGGAUGCUGAAACAAGUGAGGUGCAUGCUGGAGUGGGAGCCCUGCACCCCAUGUCCUCAUCUGUGAGUGAAUCCCACAGGCAGGCAGCCCCUGGCCCAGUGCAGCUGCCCGCCAGGCCCAACAAAGGAACCUUCUGCAAAGCAACCCUCUCCCCAAAGCUGCCUUCUGCGUUCAGCCCCACUCAAUGGGCCUCGCCAAGGCUGAAAUGAGGAGCAAAGGAACCCUGGGCCCCGGCCCCGAAAUUACAAGUGUGGCCUUGGGACCAUCGCCUCUGCCCUGCAGACGGCAGUUCACCUCAUUAUGAUAAUCAGUGUGUUUUUCCUUCACAGACAAAGAAGGCUCCUUAGGAGAGGAACACUGGAGCCCAGCAGCUCCCUCAUUAGCGUCUGCAGCCUCUUCCUUGACGAGGGCCAAGACUAGCCCUGUGUUCAUUAAGGGAAAAGGGCGGAAAGUGCAAGGAAACUGAAAAACACAGCUGGGGGGAGGGGAAGGGCUUUCUGUUGGCCAUUCAUUCAUUGAAAGACCAUGUGUACCUUCAGGACUUAAUCACCAGCCCAGGGGCCAGGGAGAGUUUAACCAGGAUGAAGGCGGUAAAGAGGUUAAACUUGAUAGGAGUUAAAACCCCAAAACGGGGCAAUUUGAUUUGAAAGCUUCCUGGGACUUGUCAGUUGGAUCAUUAAUUUAAAAGCUUUUUCCUGUUUAUUUUAGCCCAACCCGACACUGGAGGAAACCUUUCCCUAGCUGUGUUUUCCGUCGAUGUUAAUAUUUUCUAAGUCCCCUUCCCUACUUUAUUGUCUUUGGGGCCUUUUCUCAUUCUUUUCUUUCUCUCCCACCUCUUCCACCCCUCCUCCCCCCACUUCUUUCUUCUCUCUAUGGUCCUCCCCGUGGGAACUUUACCUGUAAGAAAAUCUGCUGGUGGCUCUAAUUGAAUUUUCUCACGAAUACUUUAAUGAACCUUAUUUCAAGUCCCUCAAAUAGUGUCUGGUUCUUACCUGCAAGAGAGUUCGCCAGACCUGCCAGGUGAACAUUAUUAAUCCUAUUUUGUGACUGAGAAAAAAGUGGCUUGGAGAAACUGACCUAACUUAGGGCCUCAGCACUAGGGUGGGUCAGCCAGGACUCAACUCCAAGGAGGGAUGGUGAAGGGCAAGGUACAGAAGUUGGGAGCUCUGGCUACCUGAGGUCCUAAGAGAAGGGAUGCUGGGUGGGGCAGGGGUCCCUGUGGAUUCUAGAGGGAGUGCAUGUCAAUAGGUGUGAACCCGGGCCCAAGAGCCACAUGAGA
Molecule: long non-coding RNA, 2079 nt
Organism: Myotis davidii
Lineage: Eukaryota; Metazoa; Chordata; Mammalia; Chiroptera; Vespertilionidae
Exons: 2
Source: RefSeq, a predicted model, not a curated record